RNAcentral lists this ribosomal RNA (432 nucleotides) under uncultured bacterium. RNAcentral's name for it is "partial 16S ribosomal RNA". It matches the Rfam family "Bacterial small subunit ribosomal RNA", at positions 29 to 507 of the family's 1533-position model. The record is from RNAcentral.
AACGAACGCUGGCGGCAUGCCUAACACAUGCAAGUCGAACGAGACCUUCGGGUCUAGUGGCGCACGGGUGCGUAACGCGUGGGAACCUGCCCUUAGGUUCGGAAUAACUCCCCGAAAGGGGUGCUAAUACCGGAUAAUGUCUUCGGACCAAAGAUUUAUCGCCUUUGGAUGGGCCCGCGUUGGAUUAGCUAGUUGGUAGGGUAAAAGCCUACCAAGGCGACGAUCCAUAGCUGGUCUGAGAGGAUGAUCAGCCACACUGGGACUGAGACACGGCCCAGACUCCUACGGGAGGCGGAGUUGGGGAUAUUUGGCCAUGGGCCGAAGCCCUGUCCAGCAAUGCCGCGUGAGUGAUGAAGGCCUUAGGGUUGUAAAGCUCUUUUACCCGGGAUGAUAAUGACAGUACCGGGAGAAUAAGCUCCGGCUAACUCCGUG